This 281-nucleotide ribosomal RNA is filed under the name uncultured prokaryote. Its description in RNAcentral is "partial 16S ribosomal RNA". It matches the Rfam family "Bacterial small subunit ribosomal RNA", at positions 524 to 803 of the family's 1533-position model. The record is from RNAcentral.
UACGUAGGGGGCUAGCGUUAUCCGGAAUUACUGGGCGUAAAGGGUGCGUAGGUGGUUUCUUAAGUCAGAGGUGAAAGGCUACUGCUCAACCGUAGUAAGCCUUUGAAACUAUCAAACUGGAGUGCAGGAGAGAUAAGUGGAAUUCCUAGUGUAGCGGUGAAAUGCGUAGAUAUUAGGAGGAACACCAGUGGCGAAGGCGACUUACUGGACUGUAACUGACGUUGAGGCUCGAAAGCGUGGGGAGCAAACAGGAUUAGAUACCCCGGUAGUCCCUGAGCGGG